AUGGAGCGACGGACAGCGGCAAGACCUACACCAUGCAGUUGCUUCAAGUUAAAAGCGCAUGAAGGGCAGGAGAGCGGGAAGGGGAGGACCAGGCAUGAAGGGCGGGGCCAAGGUGGUUGUCAUGCCACACAAGCACGACAUCGUCUUCAUCGCCAAGGCCAAGGAGGACGCACUCUGCACCAAGAACAUGGUCGCCGGCGAGUCUGUCUACAGCGAGAAGAGCUACCUUGCCUGGCGCUGGUACUAUUAUCCUAUACUAUUUUACUAUCUGUAUGCUCUUCACUGCCCCUGGAAGUACCUCCAUGCAAAAUAAGGUUGAACGGAGGAGAGUUUGUGACUGCUAUAGAAGGAUUGAAGGAGGUCCAUGUUGAAGAAGAUCGACAGAAGCAAUAG
This 393-nucleotide ribosomal RNA is filed under the name Triticum aestivum (bread wheat). RNAcentral's name for it is "partial small subunit ribosomal RNA". The record is from RNAcentral. Lineage: Eukaryota; Viridiplantae; Streptophyta; Magnoliopsida; Poales; Poaceae.